This 253-nucleotide ribosomal RNA is filed under the name uncultured bacterium. Its description in RNAcentral is "partial 16S ribosomal RNA". It matches the Rfam family "Bacterial small subunit ribosomal RNA", at positions 524 to 776 of the family's 1533-position model. The record is from RNAcentral.
GACGGGGGAUGCAAGUGUUAUCCGGAAUCACUGGGCGUAAAGCGUCUGUAGGUGGUCAAAUAAGUCAACUGUUAAAUCUUGAGGCUCAACCUCAAAAUCGCAGUCGAAACUAUUAGACUAGAGUAUAGUAGGGGUAAAGGGAAUUUCCAGUGGAGCGGUGAAAUGCGUAGAUAUUGGAAAGAACACCGAUGGCGAAGGCACUUUACUGGGCUAUUACUAACACUCAGAGACGAAAGCUAGGGUAGCAAACAGG